UAUUUAUUUUGAGAGUGACAGACACAGAGUGAGGAAGGGAGGGGCAGAGAGUGAGGGGCGAGAGAGAGAAUCUCAGGCAGGUUCCCCACGGCCAGCAGAGUCUGACGUGGGGCUCAAACUCAAGAAACUGCGAGAUCAUGACCUAAGCUGAAACCAAGAGUCAAAAGCUGAACCAACCGAGCCACCCAGGUGGCCCCAUAAUUUUAGAAAGCCAUCACUAGAUAUUAUUUGCACUGUGUUCAUUGUUUGCCAAUCUUAUAAGCAGUAUGAGGCCGGGGUUAUUUGUGCUGUUAUUCCAUACUGAGUCCCUAUGGGAUAACAGAUCAUCCGGGAUUUAACUCGAGCACAGAAACACACAAAAAAGGUGAUUAAAUAGGGGCGCCUGGGUGGCUAAGUGGGUUAGGCUUCCGAUUUUAGCUCAGGUCAUGAUCUCGCAGUUUGUAGGUUUGAGCCCCAUGUCAGGCUCUGUGUGGACAACUCAGAGCUGGAGCCUGCUUCAGAUUCUGUGUCUCCCUCUGUCCUUUCCCUCCUUUGCACUCUGUCUCUCUUUCUCUCUCAGAAAAGAAUAAAUGUUUAAAAAAAUCUACAAGAAAGUGAUUAAAUAAAUGAUAGGACGUCCUACGGGGAACUUACAUUUUAGACACCAUACUUGGAAAAGUUCUUUCUUUCCUAGAAGCAGAGAAAGACUGAGAGACACGGGUGUCACUGCGAAGGCGCCGCAAGCGGCUGACGGUCGGAAAGCCUGAGGUCGCCAGGGCACACGUGCUCCUCAGCCAGUGGCUUGCGUUGGCAGCAAGUGUGACCCACAAAGACAAAAUGGGAGAGAGGACGUAGGAGGAGACGAAUGUGCUCACCAGGGCCAGGACGGACGAGGACCACGGAGCCGCUGGCCCAGGCCAUGAGGCCCGAACAAGUGACAUCAGUGAAGGAGAACAUGACUGCAGGAACAUGCAAAGCAAUAAAGAUAUUCAACAGGAGAUGCAGGAUCCAGCAGAGGAAACAGCAGAUGCCAGUGCACUCCGGGAAUGCAACCCUGAGCUCCACCCACUGGGAGGCGUUGGUGUUGAGCUUAAGGGCCUGGAAACCACUGAGCAGG
RNAcentral lists this long non-coding RNA (1096 nucleotides) under Suricata suricatta (meerkat). RNAcentral's name for it is "lncRNA (ENSSSUG00005020908.1)". The record is from RNAcentral. Lineage: Eukaryota; Metazoa; Chordata; Mammalia; Carnivora; Herpestidae.